Molecule: long non-coding RNA, 1892 nt
Organism: Lolium rigidum
Lineage: Eukaryota; Viridiplantae; Streptophyta; Magnoliopsida; Poales; Poaceae
Exons: 6
Source: RefSeq, a predicted model, not a curated record
CAGUACAAGCAGCGCCUCCGUCCUAUCCCCAUUCCCUGUUGCAGCGACGGCCGCCCUUCCCCUGCAUGCCCAUAGAUGGAGGCGGAGGCGCAGACCUCGGUACGGCAUGCUCCCGGAGUUGAUAGUCGACGCCCCUCCCUACCUUGCCCGCGACUGGUAUUUCGACGCAUCAGCUGAAUAGAAAUGACUGGACCAGAUUCUUUUUUGCUGCUGAAUAAUCAUGGAGGGAAGAUCAAGCAGCCAAUCGGGUGAGAAACUGAGGAUAUAAAAGAGGAGGCAGAAGAAAAACUAAAAUUAAAAGAAGUACGGGGACUGGAGCAGAUUUUCAAAAUUGGUCAACAUGAAGCAAAAUCGGAGGAGAAAUACCAACUGUGAAUGGUGAUUGCACUCAAUAUUUCAUGUUGGUGAAGGAUUUGAGGUGGUCCGUGAAUGUUGGAACAGAUUGGCCAAAUGACUGAACAGAAGGAACAAGUGACCUGAUAUUAAAAGGAAUAACAUAGGUGUUGGUGGAAGGCACUUUAGUUGUAGGAGGCGGGGUUGCACUCUCAGUCGUACAAAAUGGCUUGUAAUAAAGUUCAAAAAGGUCGACGCCUCUUCUUAGAUGCUAGAUGGGCCUAUACUGUAGAUUCAGAUAGCGACAUAUAAAUGCCCGUGAAAGAACACCGGCUCAAGCAAGUAAAUACCGACUCAGGCAAAAGUCAACAUCAACUACUUCGGGUCAAGGGAGAUGCAGGAGCUGCAAAAGAUUAGGCUAGACGCAUUAUGAUCGGAUACACAAGGCCUCCUAGCGAAUCUGAUAUGAUUAUGAGGCAAGGUAAAUAGAUCUCAAAGCAUGAAACCUCAAGUAUCCUAUCAAAUUGGUAUUAGUGAACUAUUAAAACAUUAUGAUCUGACAGAUUGGUAUUUGUUCAAACCAUGAUUACUGCAAAUUCUCACAUGAUGGGGAAGUUCUUCAGACAAAGUGCAUACAGCUGGUGAUCCGCAUGAGAGUAAACUACAUACAACUUGAUACCUUUUUCAGGUGAUCCGUGUUUCCCAAAUGGGGAAGUUCUUCAAACAAAGUGCACCUCAAGUUUCCCUGUUGAUCCGCAUGAUAAUCAAAUACAUACAAAUUACAAAUCAGGAAAGGUACGAAACAGCAAGUUUCCUCAGCAAUUUGAAAACUGCAUACAACCAAGAGGUGUGGUUAUGUACCUUUACUCUCCCUGAUGGUUAUGUACGAAACUGCAUAACAAUGGUUCAAGGUACCCUUUAUAUGCACGCACCAGAAAGCAUGGCUGGGGGAUUAGGAUUCUACCAAUAUUGUUGAUCCGCAAUGAUGGAGUUUCCUUUAAAAUGUGAGACAUCUCUGAAAUGCUGCAGUUUUCUUUGAAAUGGCUGGGCGGUUUCCUUUUCUGUAGCCCUGACAUAAUGAGAUGAUUUGCCGCGGUGAUUAUGCGCUGGACUUUCCUGGAAUGAUGUUGCCGUGCUGAAAUGAUUAUAGGGAGGUGGGAGGGCAAAUUGGUCAAGUGAUUAUGCGGUUUCUUAUUCUGUUGCAUUGAAAUGAUGUUGCCGUGCUGAAUUUGUUUUGAGGUAAGGUGGGAGGGCAAAUUGGUCAAGUUGAAAAUAUGUGUGACGAAACCUCUGACCGGAGGUUCUUCCUUUUUAGAUGGUAGAGAUAGAGAUAGAGAUAGAGAUAGAGAUAGAGAUAGAGAUAGAGACUCAAUGAAGGAAACAUGAUAAUCUGAUGAUGCUGUGUAGGCGCCAUUUAUAGUUAGGCGCCAAAUGAAGCUGUGUUCUUCUCUUCUUCUGAAGAUAAGGGCUCCAGCGCCUGAAUUUGAGCGAAGAGCUCGAUGAACUCAGCUAUUGCUUGUAUGGAUAAUGGAUAGUGUACAUCUCAAGUCUGAAACCCA